GCGAGGCCGAAAGGCGUAGUCGAUGGGAAACAGGUUAAUAUUCCUGUACUUGGUGUUACUGCGAAGGGGGGACGGAGAAGGCUAUGUUAGCCGGGCGACGGUUGUCCCGGUUUAAGCAUGUAGGCUGGUUAUCCAGGCAAAUCCGGAUAAUCAAGGCUGAGGUGUGAUGACGAGGCACUACGGUGCUGAAGUAACAAAUGCCCUGCUUCCAGGAAAAGCCUCUAAGCAUCAGGUAACA
RNAcentral lists this ribosomal RNA (238 nucleotides) under Klebsiella quasipneumoniae subsp. similipneumoniae. Its description in RNAcentral is "partial 23S ribosomal RNA". It matches the Rfam family "Bacterial large subunit ribosomal RNA", at positions 1396 to 1636 of the family's 2925-position model. Lineage: Bacteria; Pseudomonadati; Pseudomonadota; Gammaproteobacteria; Enterobacterales; Enterobacteriaceae. The record is from RNAcentral.